Molecule: ribosomal RNA, 255 nt
Filed under: uncultured bacterium
Lineage: Bacteria
Description: partial 16S ribosomal RNA
Rfam family: Bacterial small subunit ribosomal RNA
Source: RNAcentral
UCUUUCUUUGCUGGCGACCGGCGCACGGGUGAGUAACACGUAUCCAACCUGCCCUUUACUCGGGGAUAGCCUUUCGAAAGAAAGAUUAAUACCCGAUAGCAUAAUGAUUCCGCAUGGUUUCAUUAUUAAAGGAUUCCGGUAAAGGAUGGGGAUGCGUUCCAUUAGGUUGUUGGUGGGGUAACGGCUCACCAAGCCUUCGAUGGAUAGGGGUUCUGAGAGGAAGGUCCCCCACAUUGGAACUGAGACACGGUCCAA